AAAAAACUAGUUAAAAUAUAAUAUAAAUUUGUCAAAUUUAAGUAAUUAAAAAUUAAUGUUUUUUA
Molecule: transfer RNA, 65 nt
Filed under: Colossendeis megalonyx
Lineage: Eukaryota; Metazoa; Arthropoda; Pycnogonida; Pantopoda; Colossendeidae
Also listed under: 1 other name
Description: tRNA-Asp
Source: RNAcentral